This 839-nucleotide ribosomal RNA is filed under the name Salmonella enterica. Its description in RNAcentral is "partial 23S ribosomal RNA". It matches the Rfam family "Bacterial large subunit ribosomal RNA", at positions 711 to 1462 of the family's 2925-position model. The record is from RNAcentral. RNAcentral also lists the same sequence under 2 other names. Lineage: Bacteria; Pseudomonadati; Pseudomonadota; Gammaproteobacteria; Enterobacterales; Enterobacteriaceae.
AGACCCGAAACCCGGUGAUCUAGCCAUGGGCAGGUUGAAGGUUGGGUAACACUAACUGGAGGACCGAACCGACUAAUGUUGAAAAAUUAGCGGAUGACCUGUGGCUGGGGGUGAAAGGCCAAUCAAACCGGGAGAUAGCUGGUUCUCCCCGAAAGCUAUUUAGGUAGCGCCUCGUGAAUUCAUCUCCGGGGGUAGAGCACUGUUUCGGCUAGGGGGCCAUCCCGGCUUACCAACCCGAUGCAAACUGCGAAUACCGGAGAAUGUUAUCACGGGAGACACACGGCGGGUGCUAACGUCCGUCGUGAAGAGGGAAACAACCCAGACCGCCAGCUAAGGUCCCAAAGUCAUGGUUAAGUGGGAAACGAUGUGGGAAGGCCCAGACAGCCAGGAUGUUGGCUUAGAAGCAGCCAUCAUUUAAAGAAAGCGUAAUAGCUCACUGGUCGAGUCGGCCUGCGCGGAAGAUGUAACGGGGCUAAACCAUGCACCGAAGCUGCGGCAGCGAACGUAUCACCCAAGACAACUUUACGGAGUUGACGAUUGACGGAGCGAAGCGACGUCAAAGCGUUCAUUAAAGUCGAGUUGGCUUAGGGAUACGUUCGUUGGGUAGGGGAGCGUUCUGUAAGCCUGUGAAGGUGUGUCGUGAGGCAUGCUGGAGGUAUCAGAAGUGCGAAUGCUGACAUAAGUAACGAUAAAGCGGGUGAAAAGCCCGCUCGCCGGAAGACCAAGGGUUCCUGUCCAACGUUAAUCGGGGCAGGGUGAGUCGACCCCUAAGGCGAGGCCGAAAGGCGUAGUCGAUGGGAAACGGGUUAAUAUUCCCGUACUUGGUGUUACUGCGAAGG